AAAAAGGCAGUCCUAGAUGAAGGAACCGCGCAACCUUAAUUGACAUGUCACCAGAGGCUAUACGAAACCUAAGAAAGCGGUAAAAUGCGGGAAAAAUAAAGUACCACGCAGGUAAAGAUCCGAGGCAACAACAAUUUAAGAGGUAAGAAACCCAAAGACCCUUCCAAGCUAAGCAUCAUCAAAAAAAGCGAGUCAGUACAGGUAAUCGGAAUAAACCUCCAGGUGGUAUCCCACCAAAUAAAGUGGAACACCAAG
RNAcentral lists this long non-coding RNA (255 nucleotides) under Lathyrus oleraceus (garden pea). RNAcentral's name for it is "Pisum sativum (pea) long non-coding RNA (PSAT_LNC001709)". The record is from RNAcentral. Lineage: Eukaryota; Viridiplantae; Streptophyta; Magnoliopsida; Fabales; Fabaceae.